This is a long non-coding RNA of Gopherus flavomarginatus (Mexican gopher tortoise), 1123 nucleotides long. RefSeq lists it as uncharacterized. The record is from RefSeq and is a predicted model, not a curated record. Lineage: Eukaryota; Metazoa; Chordata; Testudines; Testudinidae. The transcript has 3 exons.
CGCCUCGGGAUGCGGGGCAGGCGUAACUGCGCGAGCUUGUGUGGCAGGAGGGCAGCGCCGGUGUCGCGCGGCGCUAGCAGGUCUAGACAAGCCCAAGGUGGCGAUACAGCAGAUUGAACACCAUGACAUGCUGAAACCUGGCUGGUUUUAUGAGGGAAACCAACUCAAAGCUGAUCCCACCCCCAAGAUGAGAAAAGACAUGAAGCUAUGACAUGCACAGGGUCAUUUUGGGGGUUCAAUUCUGAAGUUCCUGCUCAGGCUGCACUCCCAAUGAACUCCAUUGGGUUUUGCCUGCAGAAGCAGGCAGCGUGUUCUGAAGAAAGAUCAGGAGACUGAGCAUCAGGACAUUCUGAGUUCAAAUGAGAUGUUUUUGUGAAAGAUCUGUUCUAGGAAUUAUUUUGAAGAAAUUCCAUGGCCUGUGUGAUACAGGAGGUCCAGAUGAGACGAUCACAAUGGUUUGUUCUGGCCUAGGAAUCUAUUAAUCUACAUCCUAGUUUACCCAUUAAUUUGUUCUGCACCCUGGGAUGAAUUCCUUCAUCUUUCUGCCUCAGUUUCUCCAUCUGUAAAACGAAGAUAAUAUUUGCGAUGGGCUGGCAUAGGAACCCCCUUGGGAACUGCCAAGUGAUGUGCCAAGACUACUUCUGCCCCUGCUUUCCCUGCCAGCUCGGGACCCCAGCAUCCUGUCUUGCUGAGCCAGACACUCCCGUCUGCUCCAGCACAGACCCAACGUCUGAAUUACUUGCCCCAAAGCUGCAGGUUUACCUGAAAGCAGUUUACAGAAGUGUGCUUGUUUUAACACUCAGAUGCCCAACUCCCAACAGAGUCUAAACCCAAAUAAAUCUAUUUUACCCUGUAUAAAGCUUAUACAGGAUAAACUCAUAAAUUGUUUGCCCUCUAUAACACUGAUAGAGAGAAAUGCACAGCUGUUUGCCCCCCCCCCAGGUAUUAACACAUACUCUGAGUUAAUUCAUAAGUAAAAAGUGGUUUUAUUAAAUACAGAAAGUAGGAUUUAAGUGGUUCCAAGUAGUAACAGACAGAAUAAAGUGUAUUACCAAGUAAAAUAAAAUAGAACACGCAAGUCCAUGUCUAAGAAACUGAAUACAAAUAAAAUCUCACCCUGAAA